RNAcentral lists this transfer RNA (71 nucleotides) under Ctenophorus gibba. RNAcentral describes it as "tRNA-Ile". Lineage: Eukaryota; Metazoa; Chordata; Lepidosauria; Squamata; Agamidae. The record is from RNAcentral.
GGAAGCGUGCCCGAAGCCACAAGGACUACUCUGAUAAGGUAGACAUGGAAUUUACAGUAUUCCCACUUCCC